Molecule: ribosomal RNA, 348 nt
Filed under: uncultured bacterium
Lineage: Bacteria
Description: bacterial SSU rRNA
Rfam family: Bacterial small subunit ribosomal RNA
Source: RNAcentral
GGGCCCGCACAAGCGGUGGAGCAUGUGGUUUAAUUCGAUGAUACGCGAGGAACCUUACCAGGGUUUAAAUGCAGAACGACAGGGGUGGAAACACCCCCUUCUUCGGACGGACUGCAAGGUGCUGCAUGGUUGUCGUCAGCUCGUGCUGUGAAGUGUCGGGUUAAGUCCCAUAACGAGCGCAACCCCCAUUUCUAGUUGCCAGCGGUUCGGCCGGGGACUCUAGAGAAACUGCCAGCGUAAGCUGUGAGGAAGGUGGGGGAUGACGUCAAAUCAUCACGGCCCUUACAUCCUGGGCCACACACGUGCUACAAUGGUGGGGACAACAGGUUGCCAACCCGCGAGGGUGAG